This 677-nucleotide ribosomal RNA is filed under the name uncultured bacterium. RNAcentral's name for it is "bacterial SSU rRNA". It matches the Rfam family "Bacterial small subunit ribosomal RNA", at positions 160 to 823 of the family's 1533-position model. The record is from RNAcentral.
GAGCUAAUGCCGGAUGAGUUAUAUAAGUGCAUGUUUAUAUAGGAAAAGUUGGGGAGACCUGACGCUGAAAGAUGGACUCGCGUCCCAUUAGCUAGUUGGUAGGGUAAUGGCCUACCAAGGCGACGAUGGGUAGCCGGCCUGAGAGGGUGGCCGGCCACACUGGGACUGAGACACGGCCCAGACUCCUACGGGAGGCAGCAGUGGGGAAUUUUGCGCAAUGCUCGUAAGAGUGACGCAGCGACGCCGCGUGAAUGACGAAGGCCUUCGGGUCGUAAAGUUCUUUCGACAGGGAAGAAAAUGCCUAUAAGUAACUGUGUAUGUAUUGACGGUACCUGUAUAAGCAGCCCCGGCUAACUCCGUGCCAGCAGCCGCGGUAAUACGGAGGGGGCGAGCGUUGUUCGGAGUGACUGGGCGUAAAGAGCACGUAGGCGGUGUUGUAAGUCAUUAGUCAAAGACUAGAGCUCAACUUUAGUAAGGCUAGUGAUACUAUAAUACUAGAGUAUCAGAGAGGAUUGCAGAAUUCCUGGUGUAGCGGUGAAAUGCGUAGAUAUCAGGAGGAAUACCGUUAGCGAAGGCGGCAAUCUGGCUGGAAACUGACGCUGAGGUGCGAAAGCGUGGGUAGCAAACAGGAUUAGAUACCCUGGUAGUCCACGCUGUAAACGAUGGAUGCUAGGUGU